RNAcentral lists this ribosomal RNA (497 nucleotides) under uncultured bacterium. RNAcentral's name for it is "partial 16S ribosomal RNA". It matches the Rfam family "Bacterial small subunit ribosomal RNA", at positions 28 to 507 of the family's 1533-position model. The record is from RNAcentral.
GAUGAACGCUGGCGGCGUGCCUAAUACAUGCAAGUCGAGCGAACGGACGAGAAGCUUGCCUCUCUGAUGUUAGCGGUGGACGGGUGAGUAACACGUGGAUAACCUACCUAUAAGACUGGGAUAACUUCGGGAAACCGGAGCUAAUACCGGAUGAUAUUUUGAACCGCAUGGUUCAAAAGUGAAAGACGGUCUUGCUGUCACUUAUAGAUGGAUCCGCGCUGCAUUAGCUAGUUGGUAAGGUAACGGCUUACCAAGGCAACGAUGCAUAGCCGACCUGAGAGGGUGAUCGGCCACACUGGAACUGAGACACGGUCCAGACUCCUACGGGAGGCAGCAGUAGGGAAUCUUCCGCAAUGGGCGAAAGCCUGACGGAGCAACGCCGCGUGAGUGAUGAAGGUCUUCGGAUCGUAAAACUCUGUUAUUAGGGAAGAACAUAUGUGUAAGUAACUGUGCACAUCUUGACGGUACCUAAUCAGAAAGCCACGGCUAACUACGUG